GGAUUAGAUACCCUGGUAGUCCACGCCGUAAACGAUGUCUACUAGCCGUUGGGGUACUUGAUACCUUUGUGGCGCAGCUAACGCACUAAGUAGACCGCCUGGGGAGUACGGUCGCAAGAUUAAAACUCAAAUCAAUUGACGGGGGCCCGCACAAGCGGUGGAGCAUGUGGUUUAAUUCGAAGCAACGCGAAGAACCUUACCACUCCUUGACAUCCUGCGAACUUUCUAGAGAUAGAUUGGUGCCUUCGGGAGCGCAGUGACAGGUGCUGCAUGGCUGUCGUCAGCUCGUGCUG
This 293-nucleotide ribosomal RNA is filed under the name uncultured bacterium. RNAcentral describes it as "partial 16S ribosomal RNA". It matches the Rfam family "Bacterial small subunit ribosomal RNA", at positions 775 to 1067 of the family's 1533-position model. The record is from RNAcentral.